Molecule: long non-coding RNA, 2836 nt
Organism: Cornus florida
Lineage: Eukaryota; Viridiplantae; Streptophyta; Magnoliopsida; Cornales; Cornaceae
Exons: 3
Source: RefSeq, a predicted model, not a curated record
AACUCGAAAGGGAUUUGCCAUUUUGACUUCGUGACUCGUCUCUUCUACCGGCUCGCCCGAGUCGACUCACUUGAGUUGGGCUCCGAAUCCCCGCAGAGUCCAUUUUCCCCACCAUCAACCUCUACGGUGCGAUCCUGCUUCGAUCAGGAGCAAAAUACAUAUGCAGCUGCAGAUGCACACUGUUUGCUUAAAAUACUUGCUGUUCUCAAAGAAGGUAAUCUGAAAUUUCCCAUAGAAGCCGAAAAUGGAGGCUACAUUGAUGCCGAAAAUGGAUUCAUGUGAUACCCAACUGCUUGCUUGACAAGAAUUUGGAGUUGUGGCAGUGCAGAGCAUUCACAGGUAUCUUCUGAUCUAGUAGUUUCAAGCAUGACCGUGGAGAAGAUCCAUAAACUUUUUUUCUUUAUCGAGUUAAUAAAUUAGAGAGUAGUGCUACUUAUGCCAAAGUGUUAAAUAGAGUUGCUUGACCGAACUGUUUUGAUUGGUCAUGUAUGCACUCAUGACCAAUCAAAACGGUUCGGUCAAGCCAUUCACUUCAAUUCAUUGACCUUAAAAGCAUUUUCCUAUAUUAAAAGGAAUCCUUCUGGUGCUUGAAAUGUUGGAGAAUGACAAGCUUGCCAUGUGGCAAUCACCUAACCAAAAUCCGUGGACACAUCAGGUAUGUAAAUGAGGACCAAAAAUCAUUUCUUGAGAAUAAUGGCUAGGGGGGCAUAGAUAGUGUUUACAAGCUUUCAUUUGUUGAGCAAUAGAGAGAUGACGUCCAUUUGCAAUAUGAGGUUCAUUUUUAUGACUAGCAAUACAAGUGGAUAGCAGAUUGGGGUGCCUUCAAUAAAGGCAUAUAUUAUUGACAGCAUUUCAAUUUGGCUGAGGGAUAGCAUUACUAUAGGAGAGUCUACGCUUUCCUACAAUAACAUGUUCUUUUGACAUUGCACAUUGGAAUAGUGGGCGAAUUUUUUCUGCCAAGUAGAAUGUUCUAAAGCAAUUUUAAGGGAAUGUUACUGUGAGGGAUAUGAUCCUGUUUGAUGGGAUCUUCUACGUCAGUAGUCGAUCCUUGCUGUCCCGACAUGUUGUCAGUAUGCAGAAAUCAACGUGAUUCUGAGUUUGGCGAGAACACGUGUCACCUUGAAAAACUUGUGCAUUCUCCUUCACUAGAAGUGCCACUCACCUCCCAUCUUUCACUUGUCAAGGAAUCCAUCAAGUGUAAUAGAGAGAAAUGGAGUUGUUGGGACCUUGGGCGUUAGAUUUGGUGUGUUUUAGUCAGAUGUUAGAAACAACUAACCACUUAUCUAGAAAUUGAAUAUCAUCAAACAUGACAUUUAACACAUUUAUCUUGUGAAUGAACAUUAUUAUGUAGGGAAAGAGAAAUGAUUCAGUAUAUGGUUUAUUGAUUUCUUGCCUCUCUAUCGGAUAAGACAUGCAUCCCUCACAUUAUGGGGUAAGUGGUGGCUAUGGUUUGACAUCUUAUGAAUGGAUGAGAUGAGGCUUCCUUAGGGCCCCGCCUUGAGUAAGUGGUCAUCUUUGGGAAACAUGAGCCCUGAACCCACCUUCACGUAUUAUUGUAUCAAAUACCCCUCAUUUAAUUCUGCAACUAAUGCCUCUACCAAGUCAAAUAAGUCCUCACUUCAAGAAUUUUGUUUGUUUCCUGCUAUGUAUUUAGCCGCAUGAGACUCCAGCCAUUGCGAAGUCUGGUACCUCCAUGCCUCCGUAUGGAUAGGCAGUUUUCAGUUUCGAAUUCGUGACUUUCAGGUCAAAAUGGAGCAACUUUACUGUUACGUCAAAACCCACUCUCGUUCUCCUAUUUACUUGCUUCGAUUGAAAUCUCACUUCAAACUUGGUACAACUUGUCGAUAUUAUUAUUACUAGGAAACACUGCUGAAGUGUGUGUUCUGUUCAUCACAGGGAACCCAACACCUUAAUUCAGUGCAGAAGUUCAUGAAUGUUUGCAAGCGAAUAAAUGAGUGACUUGAUGCCAAUAUGUUUGACAAUCUUAUUUUCCCUUUUGAUUCAAUAAUGAUUAAUUAUUGGUGUUAUAUAAAAUAAUGCGACAAUUAGAUCAAAUAGAUGGUUUGUUUUGUUUAAUGCAGGGAUGGAUCAAAUUGCUGUGAUUGCUUCAAUUAUAAAUUGGAGGAGUUUGGUCAUCAAAGCACUAACCUUUUUUAUUUUAUAUUACUGACUGGAUUGACUAAAAUUUGUUGGUAGGCAAGCACUUUACAGAGGCUAAUGGGUUGGAAGUUUCAAGCUUGAGGCUCGUUUGCAAUAGACAAAAGUUGAAAUCAACUUUAUUAUUUUGUGGGCCCCACACGUUAAUUCUACUUAGUGGGUGGGUCCAUCUGUGUAGGACUAAAAGUCGUACCUUUGUCAAGAAGUAAAUUCCUUUUAUUAGUUAAGCCUUACGAAACUAUAAAUACGUUAUAUACCUUUGUCGAAGGUCAAAGAAGAUUUCCUUUGUAGGGUCAUGUAAGAAUACCAUAUUUUUUUUUUUUUUCCAGUAAUUUAGAGAAAUACUUGUAUAUAAGAGUUUUUGGAUGUACAAUGUGUUUUUAUUAUAGAUGUUUUGCUUAAUUUAGGCCAGUUUGGUUGUAAAGAAAUGGAAGAAAAAGAGAAAAUGGAGGGAUAUAUAUUAAAAAAUUGAUGAUUUGGUUUUGUUAAUCGCUUAAAAAUAAGAGGUAAAAAUAAGAGGGAAUGGAAAGAAAGACUAGUAUUUUUAAUAAAACUUUGACAAUGUCAAAUUUGGCUUUUUUUUUUUUUUUUUUUCAAAAAAAAAAAAAAUAUAUAUGAAAAAAGGUAUGUUGAUAAAUUUAUUAAAAUAAUUUCAAAAUUUUUCUUUUUCUAAAUAUGA